RNAcentral lists this transfer RNA (24 nucleotides) under Rubus parvifolius (small-leaf bramble). Its description in RNAcentral is "partial tRNA-Leu". Lineage: Eukaryota; Viridiplantae; Streptophyta; Magnoliopsida; Rosales; Rosaceae. The record is from RNAcentral.
UGGUUAAAAGGGGCCCUUCCCCAA